This 288-nucleotide unclassified non-coding RNA is filed under the name Talaromyces sp. RNAcentral describes it as "partial contains 5.8S ribosomal RNA, internal transcribed spacer 2, and large subunit ribosomal RNA". The stretch from base 1 to 71 matches the Rfam family "5.8S ribosomal RNA", at positions 84 to 154 of the family's 154-position model. The record is from RNAcentral. Lineage: Eukaryota; Fungi; Ascomycota; Eurotiomycetes; Eurotiales; Trichocomaceae.
GUGAGUCAUCGAAUCUUUGAACGCACAUUGCGCCCCCUGGCAUUCCGGGGGGCAUGCCUGUCCGAGCGUCAUUUCUGCCCUCAAGCACGGCUUGUGUGUUGGGUGUGGUCCCCCCGGGGACCUGCCCGAAAGGCAGCGGCGACGUCCGUCUGGUCCUCGAGCGUAUGGGGCUCUGUCACUCGCUCGGGAAGGACCUGCGGGAGUUGGUCACCACCACAUUUUACCACGGUUGACCUCGGAUCAGGUAGGAGUUACCCGCUGAACUUAAGCAUAUCAAUAAGCGGAGGA